CAAUAGCGUAUAUUAAUGUUGUUGCAGUUAAACAGCUCGUAGUUGGAUUUCUGGCCGGAGCGUUCGGUCCGCCCUCACGGGAUGGGUGUUAUCUGAUUGGAUUCUUUCUGGCCAUCCUUGGCGAGAGCGCGUUGGGCAUUAAGUUGUCCGGCGCGGGAUCGCCAUCAUUUACUGUGAAAAAUUAGAGUGUUUAAAGCAGGCGUUUGCUGUGAAUACAUUAGCAUGGAAUAAUAAGAUAGGACUUUGGUGCUAUUUUGUUGGUUUGUACACCGAGGUAAUGAUUAAUAGGGACAGUUGGGGUAUUCGUAUUUAAUUGUCAGAGGUGAAAUUCUUGGAUUUAUGAAAGACGAACUACUGCGAAAGCAUUUACCAAGGAUGUUUUCAUUAAUCAAGAACGAAAGUUAGGGGAUCGAAGACGAUUAGAUACCA
This 429-nucleotide ribosomal RNA is filed under the name uncultured eukaryote. RNAcentral describes it as "SSU rRNA". It matches the Rfam family "Eukaryotic small subunit ribosomal RNA", at positions 592 to 1017 of the family's 1831-position model. The record is from RNAcentral.